CACUGGUCUUGGAAUAUAACAUUCAAAGCUUCUCAAAUUUAUUUGACCACAGAAUGCCUUUUGUCAAACUUCUAAUUUACACAGCCUGGAAAUCUAUUUGGGAAAGGCUGCUGUAGUGCUCAUAAAAGUUAAAACAUUAUCAACUAUGAGAGCCCACCAUUCACACUGAUCCAACAGUUUUGAGAACAAAGUUUUUUUCCCAACUGCUCUAUUCAACUUAAGUUUUAACCAGAAUAGCCCAGGUCCUCUGUGGUUAAGUUUUAACCAGAAUAGCCCAGGUCCUCUGUGGUUAAGUUUUAACCAGAAUAGCCCAAGUCCUCUGUGGUCCAAUAGUGUAUUUGUUUUCUUCUAACAUUAGUAUCAAUUAUUCAUUUUCUUAAGACACUGCACAAAGUCUCUCCUGCAUAAGUCUCAAAGUAGUUAUGGGACUGUCUUGUUUCCUAUUUAAACGCAAGUAGCUUCAGUACUCCAAUAUUUAAUGCAAUAUUUACUUUAAAUUUUAGUAACUAAUUUUUAUCAGAUUUAAGUAAUUUCUUCCUAUCUGUAUUUUACUUAGAACUUUUACUGGGAAAGACUAAAUUCUAUCAAAUGUCCACUUUAUCAUAUAAUAAAAUCACAUGAUUUUAACCUUUCAUUCAUUCAGCAAUGAAGUAUACUGAAAUAUCCUGGUGGUAAAAUAUCCUUACAUCCUAGAAUAAACCUUACCUAGUCAUGCUAUAUUAUUAAUUUAGAUUGCUGAUAAAGUUCAUUCCCUAAUGCUGAAAUAAGAAACAUAACUUUAAACAAACAUACCUUAACUAUUUGGAAAAGUAAUUAUGCAGCUGCAAAGACUAAGAUAGGAAAAGAAAUUAACACUACAUAAUCUGAUUUACCAGAAAUUUUACUAAAAUAUAUUUAUUUUAUUUUAGUCACAUUCUUACUUGUAUAGAUUGACAAACUUCAGUUUCUUUUAGAUCAAAUUAAUUUUUUAAAUUCCUCUAUGAAAGUGAAAUUAUGUCAUUUGUCUUCUAAAGAUAUAUUUCAGAAAACAUAAAGUAUCUAAGAAUAUGAACAGCAACUGUGAAUGUUAACAAGGCAAAUUUAAGUAUCAGAAAGUUGAAAGAUGAAAGACAAAAUAACCUAAGAAUAAAAAAGUUCUUAUUUAACUAAUGAUUCACCUAAAUAAUACCACCUAUUUUUUUAACUUUCAAGAUUUUUUAUUGUAAUUUUCUAUGUAAUCAUACGAAGUGCAUUCCUGUGAACUACUUUUAAUACUAAAAUGAAUCAUAUAAUAUAACAAUAGAGGGAAAAGCUGCUCAAAUAUUCUAUAAUAUUCUUGAGUCAUGGAUGAGCAGAUACAAAUGCAAAAGAAUCUUAACCAUUUAAUCACUGGCAAGGAUGUGGAGAAAAAGGGACCCUCAUAUGCUGUUGGUGAAAAUGUAAAUUAGUAAAACCAUUAUGAAGAACAGUUUGGAGGGUCCUCAAAAACCUAAAAAUAGAGCUACCAUAUGAUUUAGCGAACUCACUGCUGGGUAUAUAUCCAAAACAAAGGAAAUCAGUAAAUCGAAAAGAUAUCUGUGCUCUCUCUGCCCAGCCGCCCCAUCUGGGAGGUGAGGAGCGCCUCUGCCCGGCCGCCCAUCGUCUGGGAAGUGAGGAGCGCCUCCGCCCGGCCGCCCCGUCUGGGAGGUGAGGAGCGCCUCCGCCCCGCCGCCCCGUCUGGGAGGUGAGGAGCGCCUCCGCCCGGCCGCCCAGUCUGGGAUGUAGGAGCGCCUCCGCCCGGCAGCCCAUCAUCUGGGAAGUGGGGAGCGCCUCCGCCCGGCCGCCCCGUCUGGGAAGUGAGGAGCGCCUCCGCCCGGCUGCCCCAUCUGGGAAGUGAGGAGCGUCUCUGCCCACCCGCCCAUCGUCUGGGAAGUGAGGAGCGCCUCUGCCCAGCCGCCCAUCUUCUGGGAUGUGAGGAGUGCCUCUGCCCAGCCACCCCGUCUGGGAAGUGGGGAGCGCCUCUGCCCGGUGCCCCAUCUGGGAGGUGUACCCAACAGCUCCGAAGAGACAGCGAUCAUCGAGAAUGGGCCAUGAUGACGAUGGCAGUUUUGUCGAAAAGAAAAGGGGGAAAUGUGGGGAAAAGAAAGAGAGAUCAGAUUGUUACUGUGUCUAUGUAGAAAGAAGUAGACAUAGGAGACUCCAUUUUGUUCUGUACUAAGAAAAAUUCUUCUGCCUUGGGAUGCUGUUAAUCUAUAACCUUACCCCCAACCCCGUGCUCUCUGAAACAUGUGCUGUGUCAACUCAGGGUUAAAUGGAUUAAGGGUGGUGCAAGAUAUGCUUUGUUAAACAGAUGCUUGAAGGCAGCAUGCUCGUUAAGAGUCAUCACCACUCCCUAAUCUCAAGUACCCAGGGACACAAACACCGUGGGAAGGCUGCAGGGACCUCUGCCUAGGAAAACCAGAGAACUUUGUUCACGUGUUUAUCUGCUGACCUUCUCUCCACUAUUAUCCUAUGACCCUGCCACAUCCCCCUCUCCGAGAAACACCCAAGAAUGAUCAAUAAAUACUAAAAAAAAAAAAAAAAAAAGAUAUCUGUGCUCCCACGUUGGUUGCAGCACUGUUUGCAAUAGCCAAAAUUCAGAAGCAAACUAAGCAUCCAUCAACAGAUAAAUGGAUAAAGAAAAUGUGGUACAUAUAUACAAUGGAGUACUAUUCAGCCAUGAAAAAAGAAUGAGAUCCAGUAACUUAUAACAACAUUAAUGGAGCUGGAGAUCAUUACAUUAAAUGAAAUAAGCCAGACACGCAGACAACCAUUGCAUGUUCUCACUUAUUUGUGAGAUCCAAAAAUCAAAACAAUGGAACUCAUGAACACAGAGAGAAGAACGAUGGUUACCAGACGCUGAAGAGGGUAGCGGAGUAUGGGAAUGAGUUAAGGAUGGUUAAUGGGUUAAAAAAAAAAAUAGAAAGAAUGAAUAAGGCCUAAUAUUUGAUAGCAUAACAGAGUGACUAUAGUCAAUAAUAAUAUAACUGUACAUUUUAAAAUAACUAAAAGAGGCUGGGCGCAGUGGCUCAUGUCUAUAAUCCCAGCACUUUGGGAGGCCAAAGUGGGUGGAUCACCUGAGUUCAGGAGUUCGUGACCAGCCUAUGCAACAUGAUAAAACCCCAUCUCUACUAAAAAUAUAAAAAUUAGCUGGGCAUGGUGGCAAGCACCUGUAAUCCCAGCUCUUUGGGAAGCCAAGGCAGGAGAAUCACUUGAACCUGGGAGUUGGAAGGUGCAGUGAGCCGAGAUCGUGACACUGCACUCCAGCCAGGGUGACAAGAGUGGAACUCCAUCUCAAAAAAAUAAAUAAUAUAAUAAAUAAAAUAAAUAAUAUAAUAAAUAAAUAAUAUAUAAUAUAAUAAUAUAAUAAAAAAUAAUAUAAUAAAAAUAAAAUAACUAAAAGAGUUUAACUGGAUUGUUUGUAACACGAAGGGAGGAGAUGGAUACCCAUUUUACAUGAUGUGAUUAUUAUGCAUUGCAUGGCUAUCAAAAUAUCUCACAUACCCCAUAAAUAUAUAUACCUACUGUAUACUCACAAAAAUUAAAAUAAAAAAAUUUUAGGGUCUGGUGCCAUAGCUCAUGCCUAUAAUCCCAGCACUUUGGGAGGCCGAGGCAGGUGGAUCACCUGAGGUCAGGAGUUCGAGACCAGCCUGGCCAACAUGGUGAAACCCCAUCUCUACUAAAAAUACAAAAUUAGCCUGGUGUGGUGAUGCAUGCCUGUAAUUCCAGCUACUUGGGAGGCUGAAGUAGGAGAAUCAUUUGAACCUAGGAGGUGGAGGCUGCAGUGAGCUGAGAUCGUGCCAUUGCACUCCAGCCUAGGCAACAAGAGCGAAACUCCAUCUCAAAAAAAAAAAAAAAUUUAAUAACCAAGGAAAUUUAAUUAAUUUGCUUCAAAGUGAUGCUGGUAUGUAUGAACUGACAUACACACCAAAUUUAAUCAAUUUCCUCAGUUAUUCCUUUCAAAAUCAAUCUUAGCCAAUAAGCUUAUGUUAGCUAUUAGACUCAGAUGGAAAUAAGCCUUUAUUAUACAAAGUAAUAAUUAGUCACAACUUCAAAGUCCUUUGAGUCCACUUAAUAGCAUCAAUCUGAUCCAACCUUAAUAAACUCUACAGGAAUUUAUACCACUCUCGUUUUCAUAGUGUCUAUUUUUGUUUAAUCAAAUACUACACUAUCAGAUAAAAUCAAAGUAAAGAACAAGAAUAUAUAGGCCGGGCACAGUGGUUCACACCUGUAGUCUCAGCACUUUGGGAGGCUGAGGCAGGCAGAUCAUUUGAGGUCAGGAGUUUGAGACCAACCUGACCAACAUGAUGAAACCCCGUCUCUACUAAAAUACAAAAAUUAGCCGGGUGUGGUGGUGGGGCAUCUGUAAUCUCAGCUACCUGGGAGGCUGAGGCAGGAGAAUCACUUGAACCCAGGAGCUGGAGGUUGCAGUGAGCCAAGAUCGUACCACUGCACUCCAGCCUGGGCAACAGAGCAAGACUCCCCCUUAAAAAAAAAAAAAAUAUAUAUAUAUAUGUAUAUAAUAAGAAUUCCUAAUAUUCCACUUACUACAUUACUGCCAAGAUUGUAACAAUCCAAACGUUAAAUAAAAUACCUAAAGAUAUGAAUGUAUUAGAUGAAUUAUCA
RNAcentral lists this long non-coding RNA (4623 nucleotides) under Homo sapiens (human). RNAcentral describes it as "HSALNT0326059". Lineage: Eukaryota; Metazoa; Chordata; Mammalia; Primates; Hominidae. The record is from RNAcentral.